Molecule: long non-coding RNA, 635 nt
Organism: Carcharodon carcharias (great white shark)
Lineage: Eukaryota; Metazoa; Chordata; Chondrichthyes; Lamniformes; Lamnidae
Exons: 4
Source: RefSeq, a predicted model, not a curated record
GAAACAGAAAAUGCUGGAAAAACUCAGCAGGUCUGGUUUUAAGACUGGUGGUGAUAACAGUCGGACGAUAGAGAGUACUUGUCUGGCACUUUUUGCAAACGGGGGAAUGUGCUGAUGAGAAUGUACUGCAACCCGUGAGCUGGGUGAAGAUGAAUACCGCCAUCAGAAAUGUCUAAAGUCCCACGUGCCGAUGUGGUUGGGAAAGGUGUUUAGCCCAUUACGACACAGUGCUGAAAGGGUUAAUUACACCGGCGAAAGUAUGAGAGGGGUCUCGGGACUGGAGUUGUCACUACAACUGGAAGAGGAAUUCGUAGAACAGCACUGAGCUGUCUCAUUCUCACAGUGCACCUUUAAGCACAGGAGGUUUGUCGGUGUAAAACGUGGUGGGAACUUACUAUGGUUUAAGCUGCAAAACAAUUGCUUUUGUGAUGUUUAACGUUUCUAUAUGGCAAUUUGUUGGCGUUUCAGGCAGUGGAAAUAAAGACUUAGUUGCAACAGGAAGAUAUAUGAAUCCACUAGUGAAAACCCCAGCUGUCAGUUCUAAAUCAUCCCGCUCUCCUACUCAAAGCAACAGAGAGCUACUUUAUCAGGAGAAUAAUCUGCGCACUGGAUUCCAUCUGGGAGUUUAGGGGGGU